AAGUCGUAACAAGGUUUCCGUAGGUGAACCUGCGGAAGGAUCAUUAUUGAAUUAUCAAUUACGUAUGUGAACCAGCUGAACCACAUUCUUUGUGGGUAGGCGUAACCGCUGACGGACUUUGAGCCGUCAGUCUUUUUUUACCAACCCUUUAUCAUUGACUUUGACUGAAAUCUUUAAAACUUAAAGACAACUUUUAGCAACGGAUCUCUAGGCUCUC
RNAcentral lists this unclassified non-coding RNA (217 nucleotides) under fungal sp. Its description in RNAcentral is "partial internal transcribed spacer region". The stretch from base 1 to 46 matches the Rfam family "Eukaryotic small subunit ribosomal RNA", at positions 1786 to 1831 of the family's 1831-position model. Lineage: Eukaryota; Fungi. The record is from RNAcentral.